This 531-nucleotide ribosomal RNA is filed under the name uncultured bacterium. Its description in RNAcentral is "bacterial SSU rRNA". It matches the Rfam family "Bacterial small subunit ribosomal RNA", at positions 979 to 1509 of the family's 1533-position model. The record is from RNAcentral.
CCUUGACAUACUAAGAACUUUCCAGAGAUGGAUUGGUGCCUUCGGGAACUUAGAUACAGGUGCUGCAUAGCUGUCGUCAGCUCGUGUCGUGAGAUGUUGGGUUAAGUCCCGCAACGAGCGCAACCCUUUUCCUUAUUUGCCAGCGGGUCAUGCCGGGAACUUUAAGGAUACUGCCAGUGACAAACUGGAGGAAGGCGGGGACGACGUCAAGUCAUCAUGGCCCUUACGGCCAGGGCUACACACGUGCUACAAUGGUCGGUACAAAGGGUUGCUACCUCGCGAGAGGAUGCUAAUCUCAAAAAGCCGAUCGUAGUCCGGAUCGCAGUCUGCAACUCGACUGCGUGAAGUCGGAAUCGCUAGUAAUCGCGGAUCAGAAUGCCGCGGUGAAUACGUUCCCGGGCCUUGUACACACCGCCCGUCACACCAUGGGAGUUUGUUGCACCAGAAGUAGGUAGUCUAACCGCAAGGAGGACGCUUACCACGGUGUGGCCGAUGACUGGGGUGAAGUCGUAACAAGGUAGGCGUAGAUGA